Molecule: long non-coding RNA, 1289 nt
Organism: Pipra filicauda (Wire-tailed manakin)
Lineage: Eukaryota; Metazoa; Chordata; Aves; Passeriformes; Pipridae
Exons: 4
Source: RefSeq, a predicted model, not a curated record
UCUUGAAGGAGUCUCCUCCUAUUCUGGAGGCUACAGCAUGAUGACAGAUUGGAUGUGGAGGCUGCUCUGAGGUGCUGAACAAUGUACAGAUUGGCUGAAGAUGUUUCAUAUGGAAGUUGCAAAUUGUAUGGACCAUUAUUGACAGUAUUAACCAUUUUACAUGAGGUCUUCAAGCAGUGUGUGAGCUGCAGCCUGUUAAAUUCCGAAUAUUAGCUCAGGAGAUCCUUCCUUGAAGAACUGAAACAUUUGGAAGAUGUGUCAGCUGCAGGAACUGGUAGUUUUGGUCUUAUGAGAAGGACUGUAACCAAGUUAAGAUGCCAAGAGGAUGGCAGUGGACGGAUAAACAGCAAGGAGAUAUGAAUAAUCAUUCCCUAUUCACUCCUCAGUCAUCUGUUUUCCAAGCUGAAGAAUCCCAGCUGCUGGAGAACUGCAAGGAAAAGUAAUAGAGGGACUAUCUAAAAAGCUGAAGACCCAUGCAAUUAUUCAGUGGCAGGGAGUUAACUUGCAUAAUUCUGAAAAAAAAUAAGGGGGGUGGGUAGGCAGUGAACUGCAAGCCAUGCACAAUUAUAAAUCUUCCAAAAAAAAGGUCACACUGGCAGAAGCCAAGAAGCCAAAUUGUGCCUGUAAAUUGGUGAAAUUUCAGAGAAGAGAAGCAAAAUGUACUUUUAAGAGGAAAGGAUAAAAGAGUGAUACAACUUUGUUUAAACAUUGCCUCUGGAAGAAGCAAACACAUGAGCUUGUUCAGAAACCUUAGAAGGAUAUAAACACAUAAACAAACUGGUCUCGGAAAAAUCUGAAAAAAAAUCAGAGAUCAUGUUGGGAAUAAAGAAAGUUUAUGUAACUGUGCAAUGAUCUGCAGUGGAAGCCUUUUACUCUAAUCUUGAAAGUGAAGUUUGAUUAUGUAUUAAAGAAAUAUACUGUAAAAAAUGCUCUUACAUUGAUAGAAGACAUGAUCUGACAAGAUUUUUGCCAUCUGAUUUCUACAGCUCUUUGAUUUUAAUUGAUAGAAUCCAUUUUAGUAGAAAAAACUCCCCAACCUUCAUACCACAACCAAAGUGAAACUCUGUGAAAAAAUAUUUGCAGCAGUAAUUUGUUUUAAAUCAAUUUUACUUUGUGCUAAUCAUGUAUAGCUUUUCUGUGUAAUUCCAGAACAACUUUAAACUCUACUGAGGGACAAAAAUAGAAUUCUGAAGAAUAAUUUCCAUACACCAGCACACACUAAUCUGCUGGCACCAGGAAAGAGCUGCUCCUGCUAAACAACUAAUAAAAUCUCUGUCUCUGUAAAAUGA